Molecule: long non-coding RNA, 719 nt
Organism: Spinacia oleracea (spinach)
Lineage: Eukaryota; Viridiplantae; Streptophyta; Magnoliopsida; Caryophyllales; Amaranthaceae
Exons: 2
Source: RefSeq, a predicted model, not a curated record
UACCGCACCGCACCCACCCCAGUUGGAGCGGGGAUGGGUACAACUUUGGCGGGUAGUAGGCGGUGUGGAUAUGAAAAUCCAUACCCGCCAUGGGUAGCGGGUAGGUGCUGGAUUGAAGCUCAUACCCGCUCCAUACCCGUCUGCCCCGCCCCGCAUCCAACCGCCCCUCUCCUACCAGCCCGCCUGUUUUAUACCUACAUGCUUUUUACUUUUAUUUUACAACUAUUGUACUAUACCCCAGAGUAACAAGCCCAUUUAUUUAUUUAGAUCAAAACCCUAGUUAGACACUCACGGCUCACGAGUCACGCCCCCGCCUCCGCCUCAGUCUCUAACUCUCUCUCUUCAAUUCACUCUUAUCUUUGUCUCUAACUCUCUCCUACUCUGGUAGUCUACUACUCUCUCCUACUCCUUCCGAUUGUAUGUAGAGCCGCAUCCCCGGAUCUCAUCUCUCACUUUGUAUGGUGGUGGUAUAUAUAAUCUUGAGGACGAGGUUGAAAAUAAAGAUAAUACAAGAUUGAAUAUGGGAGCGAAUGUUGUGUGUAUUGAUUGAGAUUGUGUAUUGCUUUUAAAUAAUUUUUGGAGACAUUAUUUUUUUGUCGUGUUUAUGUAAUGUACUAAUUUGAUUAAAUACGUUCUUGAAUUUUUUAUUUUAUUUUUAGUUGUAGAACUAUGAGAACAUUGAGAAAUAUGGUGCAAAUUGGAUCUUGGAUAUCUGCCAA